AAACUAACUAGGAUGCCUUCAGUAACGGCGAGCGAAGCAGGCAUAGCUCAAAUUUGUAAUCUGGCACCUCUGGUGUCCGAGUUGUAUUUUCUAGAAGCGAGUUCGGCGACAGCUCCUGCCAAAGUCCGUUGGAACGCGGCAUCAUGGAGGGUGAGAAUCCCGUGAAUGGUAGGAUGUCUGCUGCUAUGUGAACCGCCUUCGAAGAGUCGAGUUGUUUGGGAAUGCAGCUCUAAUUGGGAGGUAAAUUUCUUCUAAAGCUAAAUAUUGGCCAGAGACCGAUAGCGAACAAGUAGAGUGAUCGAAAGAUGAAAAGAACUUUGAAAAGAGAGUUAAACAGUACGUGAAAUUGUUGAAAGGGAAGCGCUUGAGAUCAGACUUCCUGUCUGGACUGUCCUUGCUUAUGCUUGGGUCAACAGUCCAGGCGUGGAGGCCAGCAUCAGUUUUGACGGCCGGAUAAAGGCCUUGGAAAGGUAGCUCCCCUCGGGGAGUGUUAUAGUCCAGGGUGCAAUACGGCCAGUUGGGACUGAGGACCGCGGCUCUGCCUAGGAUGCUGGCGUAAUGGUCUUAAGCGAC
RNAcentral lists this ribosomal RNA (573 nucleotides) under Taphrina caerulescens. RNAcentral's name for it is "eukaryotic LSU rRNA". It matches the Rfam family "Eukaryotic large subunit ribosomal RNA", at positions 62 to 648 of the family's 3401-position model. Lineage: Eukaryota; Fungi; Ascomycota; Taphrinomycetes; Taphrinales; Taphrinaceae. The record is from RNAcentral.